Molecule: long non-coding RNA, 432 nt
Filed under: Canis lupus dingo (dingo)
Lineage: Eukaryota; Metazoa; Chordata; Mammalia; Carnivora; Canidae
Description: lncRNA (ENSCAFG00020020646.1)
Source: RNAcentral
GUUCCUGAGACUCCCUGAGCCUGAUCUGAACCCUUUUUUCCUUGAAGGGGGACCCGGGAGUCGGGGUUGAGGGACCCCCCGGGCCAGCUGGUCUUCCGGGUGUGAAGGGAGAUGUGGGCCCCCCUGGAUCCCCCGGGGCUCCUGGUGUUGUUGGAUUCCCUGGUCAGACAGGCCCUCGAGGAGAGAUGGGUCAGCCAGGCCCCAGUGGAGAGCGGGGUCUGGCCGGUCUCCCAGGGAGAGAGGGACCCCCAGGUCCCUUGGGACCACCUGGACCACCAGGGUCAACGGGAGUGCCCGGGGCCUCUGGACCCAAAGGAGACAAGGGAGACUCUGGAGUGGGGCUGCCAGGGGCCCGGGGUGAGCGUGGGGAGCCAGGAGUCCGGGUAUGUAUGUCCUGCUCUGCAGUCACAGCUCCCUGUAUCACAGCCCUAA